CAGCUGCAUACCGUUGAUAUUGCCACGUGUACUUUUUACAGCGCAGCUGUAUAUGGCUCGGAUCCGGGGUUUCGUGGCGCAGAAACAAUCAUCAUAUGGGUGACCCUGGUGAUAGUGCAGAAAGAGUCCAAGCUGAAUGGCACACGCCCCUGUGGGCUCGGGAACCUGUAACACGCCCUUGAACUACACUUGCCACGCCUGGGACGCAAAGAGAUUCCAGGCACAAGGAGCCUCUGUCAACGAACCUGAGGAUGGCAUGUGAUGGACGUCCCCAUUAUAUAUUUAUUAUGCACGAUUAUGCCUGCACCGUAGCAAGAAAGCGUCUACUCAAAGAUCAGCGUAUGCACCAGCAGCGCACAGCGUUCGUUCCAGCAGUGAAACGGAGAACGCUGCCCUGGCUCCUGCUGCCGCCGAUGGAGCGAAGCGCGAUGGUGCGUCCACUUGGCUUCGUCGUUCUCGCAGCCAGACGCACUGCGAAAACCUCAUAAUCCUCCGGGUGUGGGCCGCGUACCGUGACAGAACGA
This is a long non-coding RNA of Dermacentor andersoni, 524 nucleotides long. RefSeq lists it as uncharacterized. NCBI's taxonomy places the organism in Eukaryota, Metazoa, Arthropoda, Arachnida, Ixodida, Ixodidae. The record is from RefSeq and is a predicted model, not a curated record.